UACAGAGGGGGCAAGCGUUGUUCGGAAUUACUGGGCGUAAAGGGCGCGUAGGCGGCCUGCUAAGUCGAACGUGAAAUCCCUGGGCUCAACCCAGGAACUGCGUCCGAUACUGGUUGGCUUGAAUCCGGGAGAGGGAUGUGGAAUUCCAGGUGUAGCGGUGAAAUGCGUAGAUAUCGGGAGGAACACCGGUGGCGAAGGCGGUUCUCUGGGCCUGUACUGACGCUGAGGAGCGAAAGCGUGGGGAGCGAACAGG
RNAcentral lists this ribosomal RNA (253 nucleotides) under uncultured bacterium. RNAcentral's name for it is "partial 16S ribosomal RNA". It matches the Rfam family "Bacterial small subunit ribosomal RNA", at positions 524 to 776 of the family's 1533-position model. The record is from RNAcentral.